AAUAGAUACCCAGGUAGUCCACGCCGUAAACGAUGAGUGCUAAGUGUUAGGGGGUUUCCGCCCCUUAGUGCUGCAGCUAACGCAUUAAGCACUCCGCCUGGGGAGUACGGCCGCAAGGCUGAAACUCAAAGGAAUUGACGGGGGCCCGCACAAGCGGUGGAGCAUGUGGUUUAAUUCGAAGCAACGCGAAGAACCUUACCAGGUCUUGACAUCCUCUGACAACCCUAGAGAUAGGGCGUUCCCCCUUCGGGGGACAGAGUGACAGGUGGUGCAUGGUUGUCGUCAGCUCGUGUCGUGAGAUGUUGGGUUAAGUCCCGCAACGAGCGCAACCCUUGAUCUUAGUUGCCAGCAUUUAGUUGGGCACUCUAAGGUGACUGCCGGUGACAAACCGGAGGAAGGUGGGGAUGACGUCAAAUCAUCAUGCCCCUUAUGACCUGGGCUACACACGUGCUACAAUGGAUGGUACAAAGGGCUGCCAAACCGCGAGGUUGAGCGAAUCCCAUAAAACCAUUCUCAGUUCGGAUUGCAGGCUGCAACCG
Molecule: ribosomal RNA, 539 nt
Filed under: uncultured bacterium
Lineage: Bacteria
Description: bacterial SSU rRNA
Rfam family: Bacterial small subunit ribosomal RNA
Source: RNAcentral